UCACUACUGGUCCAGCAGCCGCUGUAAUACUAAGGGUGGAAGCGGUUUCCGGUUUUUCUUGGCGUCAAGAUCUCGUAGUCGGUGUGUCGCGUCUGAUGUGAAAACCCAAUGGCUUAACCUUGGGCCUGCAUGCGAUACGGGCAAACUAGAGUGUGGUAGGGGAGACUGGAACUCCUGGUGUAGCGGUGGAAUGCGCAGAUAUCAGGAAGAACACCGAUGGCGAAGGCAGGUCUCUGGGCCAUAACUGACGCUGAGGAGCGAAAGCGUGGGGAGCGAACAGGAUUAGAUACCCUAGUAGUC
This 300-nucleotide ribosomal RNA is filed under the name uncultured bacterium. RNAcentral describes it as "bacterial SSU rRNA". It matches the Rfam family "Bacterial small subunit ribosomal RNA", at positions 498 to 795 of the family's 1533-position model. The record is from RNAcentral.